UCACUGCAUCUUGUAAGUCGUUAUGCCUUCCUCUCAUGCACACACUUUUUAUUUGUUUAUUUUUUUUAAUCUAUGUAUCUCUAUCUGUGUACGUAAUUUAACAAAUGGUAUUGAUGCUCACCAACAGGGCAAUUGAUGGAAGUUGAAGCCAGGGAGGUGGCCUUGAAUACUCAAUCUUCCACCGGUGCUGGCAACAGUGGCACAAUAGGAGAAACGUUUUAUCAGACAGAGCAAGCUUGUGUGACAGACUCGGAUUGCUUUUACUGGCAUUGCAUUCCUGAGAGUGGCCAUGUAAAAUGCAUUGAUCACCUUUGUGUUUGCAGAAAAUAAGGCGUUGGUUAUUACAAGAGGAGUAAAUGUAAAAAUAUCAAUGAACCGGG
Molecule: long non-coding RNA, 380 nt
Filed under: Citrus sinensis (sweet orange)
Lineage: Eukaryota; Viridiplantae; Streptophyta; Magnoliopsida; Sapindales; Rutaceae
Description: long non-coding RNA (CSIN_LNC000995)
Source: RNAcentral